Eubalaena glacialis (North Atlantic right whale) is the source of this 290-nucleotide long non-coding RNA. RefSeq lists it as uncharacterized. NCBI's taxonomy places the organism in Eukaryota, Metazoa, Chordata, Mammalia, Artiodactyla, Balaenidae. The transcript is spliced from 3 exons. The record is from RefSeq and is a predicted model, not a curated record.
ACGUUGCUGCAAGAACUCAUCCUUCCCAGCUGGAAUGACAGCACCCACAGGCAUCAACCACAUGAGCUCUGGCCUCAGGAUCAAAAGGCAAAUUAAAGGCAUACAAAGUACAAGAACACGGCCUGCGCUGUGAUAACCACACAGAGCAGAGAAUGGGCUCUAAUGCUAGUUCUUGAUCUGCAACUUACUGGUUUUGACAUCUCAGGCAGAAAAAAGAACCACACAGGAAAUGGGCAAUACAGCCCUCCAAUCUUAUAACUAAGUUGGCAGAUUGGAAAGACAUCACUAGA